Orussus abietinus is the source of this 361-nucleotide long non-coding RNA. RefSeq lists it as uncharacterized. The record is from RefSeq and is a predicted model, not a curated record. NCBI's taxonomy places the organism in Eukaryota, Metazoa, Arthropoda, Insecta, Hymenoptera, Orussidae. The transcript has 3 exons.
UUCGGUCCAUCAGUUCGCGAGAAACGUCGAUCUCGUCGGUGAAAACCGAUGACAAGUAUUUUUGCCGACGACUCGCACGAGUUUGACGUACGGGGUGCUGCACUUACAGUUUCCUCUUCCGAAUGUGCACAUUGAACGAGGUCGAAUUCGUUCCAUCCAUUUCAGAGAAAUGUCGAUCUCGUCCGUGAAAACCGAUGACAAGUAUUUUUGCGGACGGCUGGCACGAUUUUGACGAACGAGGUGCUGUGUUGUCAGCUUGCUCUUACGAAUGUGCACAUUGAACGUGAUCGAAUUCGUUCCAUCCAUUUCAGAGAAACGUCGUUCUCGUCCGUGAAAACCGAUGACAAGUAUUUUUGCGGAC